GGACGAUGACGAUUCGUGUGAAAGGUCUCGUUCGUCGUAAUGGCGUAUGCGCCUUGCCGACCAUCCUGAUAUAUCACCACCCAUAUUCCGAGUCC
Molecule: small nucleolar RNA, 95 nt
Organism: Malania oleifera
Lineage: Eukaryota; Viridiplantae; Streptophyta; Magnoliopsida; Santalales; Ximeniaceae
Product: small nucleolar RNA Z43
Exons: 1
Source: RefSeq, a predicted model, not a curated record